This 491-nucleotide ribosomal RNA is filed under the name uncultured bacterium. RNAcentral describes it as "partial 16S ribosomal RNA". It matches the Rfam family "Bacterial small subunit ribosomal RNA", at positions 29 to 507 of the family's 1533-position model. The record is from RNAcentral.
AUGAACGCUAGCUACAGGCUUAACACAUGCAAGUCGAGGGGAAACGGCAUCGAAAGCUUGCUUUUGAUGGGCGUCGACCGGCGCACGGGUGAGUAACGCGUAUCCAACCUGCCCAUCACUUGGGAAUAACCUUGCGAAAGUAAGACUAAUACCCAAUGAUAUCCCACGAAGGCAUCGGAAUGGGAUUAAAGAUUUAUCGGUGAUGGAUGGGGAUGCGUCUGAUUAGCUUGUUGGCGGGGUAACGGCCCACCAAGGCAACGAUCAGUAGGGGUUCUGAGAGGAAGGUCCCCCACAUUGGAACUGAGACACGGUCCAAACUCCUACGGGAGGCAGCAGUGAGGAAUAUUGGUCAAUGGGCGAGAGCCUGAACCAGCCAAGUAGCGUGCAGGAAGACGGCCCUAUGGGUUGUAAACUGCUUUUAUAAGGGAAUAAAGUGGGUCACGUGUGACUUUUUGCAUGUACCUUAUGAAUAAGGACCGGCUAAUUCCGUG